CGGUCCAGACUCCUACGGGAGGCAGCAGUGGGGAAUAUUGGACAAUGGGCGAAAGCCUGAUCCAGCCAUGCCGCGUGUGUGAAGAAGGCUCUAGGGUUGUAAAGCACUUUAAGUUGUGAGGAAGUUACGAUUGCAAAUAGUGGUCGUAAUUGACGUUAGCAACAGAAUAAGCACCGGCUAACUCCGUGCCAGCAGCCGCGGUAA
This 204-nucleotide ribosomal RNA is filed under the name uncultured Pseudomonadota bacterium. RNAcentral's name for it is "uncultured proteobacterium partial 16S ribosomal RNA". It matches the Rfam family "Bacterial small subunit ribosomal RNA", at positions 327 to 523 of the family's 1533-position model. The record is from RNAcentral. Lineage: Bacteria; Pseudomonadati; Pseudomonadota.